Phacochoerus africanus (Common warthog) is the source of this 2539-nucleotide long non-coding RNA. RefSeq lists it as uncharacterized. The transcript is spliced from 5 exons. The record is from RefSeq and is a predicted model, not a curated record. NCBI's taxonomy places the organism in Eukaryota, Metazoa, Chordata, Mammalia, Artiodactyla, Suidae.
CUUCCUGGGCUGCUUUCAGAAACAGAGAGAGGGGAGCUUAACAAAUGUUUCCAUGUUUGCUUUUGAAUGAAGCAAGGACAGAUGACAUGCCGUGAAGAAUGACAGUUACACAGCAAAAUAUCAGCCCAGAACAUGAAAUCCUUCCUUAAUGAAGUUAUUAGCUCAUUGAUAAUUAAGGAUCUUCUUCCAUGUCAUCGGGAUUGGGAACCAUAAUGAAGUGCUUUGGAUAUACAAGGUUGUGUGGGAUGCUCCUGUUGUAUGAUUUGAUGGAUCUCAGAAUUCAGGUAUUUGUGUAGCACUGGGUCUAGAGAGAGGCUGACAUUCAGUGAAGUACCAGGUUCAAAUAAUUAGAAGACUUUAAUUCAGGUCAGUGCUUUUCAAACUUUAGUGUGUAUACUAAAAUACCUGGGGAUUUUGUGAAAAUGCACAUACUACUUCACUAGCCAUGGGGCAGGAGGUGCUGCGAUGCUGCAUUGUUAAUAAGCUCCCUGGUGAUGUCAAUGAGCUCAGCCAGUGGACCACACUGGAAUCGUACGUACUCCCAGGUGAGGAGGAUGCUGCUGGCCCACGAACCACACUUGGGAGUAACAGGUCCUUGGGCUAUAUCUGCAUGAUUCUGAAAUGACCUUCUGAAAAAUUUCACUCCACAGCCUUAAACAAGGGAUUAAAGACAAUUCUUUGUGGGCUAAAAAAAUAAGAUGCCGAGCAUCAAACAUGGUCUCUAAUCCCAUCUCUAUUCCUUCCUAACCAUGUUACCUCAAAAUUUUUCAUCUUAGCGUUCCGAUCUAUAAAGUGGAAUAAUAACCUUUAUCUCAAUUAGGAAGGCUCACGGGGCACGAGAAUUCAAUAGGCGAUGCUGGCACUGCGAUAGCACGCAGGUAGUGCUUAACACGGGCUAACUCGCCUUCUACUGACACAGCAGCUCCGGAAGUCAAGACGUCUCAGGAAUUGUAGGUUUCUUUUCCUCUUCACACAGAGGAAGAAGUUAAGCUGUAUAGGAAAUACAGUACCUUUCACUUCCUUUCUUCAGGGCCAUGAAACCCCCAGGUGUGUCUGGGUACAGACUCAGUGGGAAGAAAAGAGUAAAAGCGAGAAGCUCUCGGAGGGCGCUGACUCACACUCCUCAGGGAAAAGCAGUCGAACUGUGAAGCUUUGCAGGGAAGAUGCUAAGGCCAGUUUGGGGGAAACGUGAAGUGAAAAAGACAAGAGAAAGACACAGGAACUUCCCCUACUAUUUACCACCUUACAAUGCAAGCCUUCUCUCUUCAUUCUCUGCUUUCAGUACUGAGCGUCGAGUCCUGCUAGUCUAAUAUUUAGACACAUUUUGCUUUGAUAAUUAGGAUGAAGGGAAUAGGACAACUUCAUAUUUGGGGCUCCUGGAAGAUCAGAUGUGAAUACAGAUAUUAGAUCUGGAUCCGUGUGUACCGUGGGUCCCAUGGAGCAACCUCCAUAGUCAUUUCUCAGGCUCCUAAAUCAGGAGCUUCAAAGGUAACUCCUGGGGUGAUUUUUAGUGACUUUCCAUCAGUGUGGGUGUAGUUGGCAUUGUCAAUUUUCCACUGGCUUCUUUGUAUAGUCUUCUGGUUUCCAGGUAUCCACUGGACUUGAGCUGACCCUAGACUGAUCACAUGGCAUCUUUGGGGGACCUGAAUCAACAGCUUCCAGCUCAGAACAGUGAUUCCACCUCCCUUGGAACAGUCAUAUCUGCUGAGAAGUUUAAGGAAGGAACCUUGAGAAAGCAUCAGAGGUGGCUUUGGAGGUGGAAUCUGAAGAAACUAGAGGAGAGAAGAAAGGAAGAAUGGAUUACAAAAGAUGAGCAAGAUGCCUGGAAUUUCACACGUGCAUCAUCUCUUUGGGUCACAGAGAAAGCCAUGCUUGAUUAACACUGGGGAUUUGCGUGUGGCCUAUGGCUGGUGUCCAAUGACUUCUCCCAUUUUCAGAACACUUCUGUAAUGUUUCCGUCAGUGGUGAAUAUAUGACAUCCAAGGAAAGGUGAGGCCCUGACACUAAGAGGAAUACAAUGACCAGUCCAAGAGGACAACCCAGAACUGGACUUCUGGGGCCUGACUGAACCGGAUUGAGGUAUCGGACACGCUUUUACAGAGGCUAUUUAGGAGGUAGAUUUUAUGAGCCUCAUUUUGCCAAUGAUAACACUAGGGCACAGAGAGGUUCAGCAACCCGCCCAAGGCCACACAGCCAGGAAGGAGCAGGAUCUGACCCCAGGCUGCCUGACUCCGGAGCCCAUGCUUGCAAACAUUCCACUGAACCAGGUCGUAAUCCCUGCUGAAUGAUUUCAGCUCUCCUGCUGUCUUCCCCCACCUCACUGUCUCGCGAUGGACGUUCACAUUUCCCGGCUGGCCCAGAAGCUGCGAUAGGGUGUUAUGAGCUGUUAGGUUAAGAGGGGUGAAGCCCUGUGAAAAGAAAACAUACUUGCUCCCCUUCCUCAGCUGCACUGGUCUUUCCUCCAGCUGAUCUUUCUCCUGUUAUAUAAAUGGAAUGUUAUACAAAUGUUUCCACCAUGAGUUUCCUUUCAAAAGAUGAA